This 1223-nucleotide unclassified non-coding RNA is filed under the name Centruroides sculpturatus (bark scorpion). RNAcentral's name for it is "uncharacterized LOC111629976, transcript variant X2". The record is from RNAcentral. Lineage: Eukaryota; Metazoa; Arthropoda; Arachnida; Scorpiones; Buthidae.
CUUAAACAGAGCUUUUCAAGUGUUUGGAAAGCAUCUAAUUCUUAUAUUAAAUUGAUUUAAUGUUUUGUAAUUAUUUCAGAUUUUUAAAAAAGAUGAAAGAGUUAAAAAAGAAGGAAGAUAAUGCUAUUGUGUUAUAUUUAUCUCCUAUAAGAAAUACAUGUGAAAUUUGUAAUACUGGGUUUGAAAUAUCAAAUCGUUAUGGAACAUUCACUUGUGUUUCGUGCAGUCUGUUUUUUGAAUUAAAUGUAGUUCUAACAAAAGAAAUAAUCUGCUGUAAAACUCGAAGCGGAAAAUGUUCAGUCGACAGGUCAAUCGUCGGUGAUGAGGAAUUGUGCAAAUUUUGUCGCUUAAACAAAUGCUACGAUGUCAAAAUAAAUUACGAAAUAAUCACAGACCAUCCAAAUUUUAUUCAAAGAUGCUUAGCUGCUCGUGAAAAAGAAAUUCAGUAUAAGGAGAACAUUUUGGAUUUCAAUCAGGAAUUGGAGUUAAUUCAAUGCCUGAUAUAUAUGGAGCAAUAUUAUUAUAAAUGGUUAAAUUUGUUUCCAAGUUUUCGCCGCUUAAGUGAGAAACAAAAGGGAUAUGUGAGAUUGAAGUCACACGUAUACGGUGCUAUCAUGCAACUCAUCGAGAGAUCUCUUUACGUUUACCGAACGAUUAGACUACACAAUUGUUUUCUAUAUAACAUGAAGCCCACAGAUAUUCUCUUCUUCAAUUUAAUCAAAAGUUUGAUCGAUUUUCGAGACGGCAUUAAAAACAGCACAGAAAAUAUAAAAGAAUUUCACGUUAAGAAACUCCAAUUUACAUUACAAGACGAUGUGGUAUUGAGGGACUCAAGUUUAAAAGUUCGAAAGAGUUCACGUAAUAUGCUGGAAAAUAUCGCUGAUAAAGUAUUAGAAGUGAUGAAGGAGAAUUCGAGACAUUUACUCUUCGAAGGUAAAGAAAAUUUUCGGAAAAUUGAAUCAUUAAAUUUGUUUGAUUAUUCUUCGAAUAUUCCCGAAGAAGAUUAUCCAUAUAAUAAAAUCGAUUUUUGCGUUAAACUAUGAAUGUAAAAAAUCGCGUAAUUUUGUAUACUCUGCAGAUUUUAAUAUUUUAUGCAGUUGAAUGGACUGCAGUGAUUGAAAUCAUCACUCGAACUUUUUACUGUUUUAAUCAGAUCCUAUGCAAAAAUAUUUUGUCGACAAUGUUUUAAAAACAGAAUAAAAAUUCUUAUUAUAAAAGACGAG